Molecule: long non-coding RNA, 1164 nt
Organism: Macadamia integrifolia
Lineage: Eukaryota; Viridiplantae; Streptophyta; Magnoliopsida; Proteales; Proteaceae
Exons: 4
Source: RefSeq, a predicted model, not a curated record
GUUGGGAUGAGGAGAGAGAGAAUCUAAAUGGGGGAAACAAGAAAAGGGUUGGGAUCUCAUUUGAGGACACCUCCAUUGUACAAGUGCUAUCGGACUUUUGGAAAUUGUAACUGUCAAGAAAACUCAAGAAUGGGGUGGAAAUGUGUCAAAACAUGGAAAAUGCAUUACAAGCUAAAGAAGGGAUGGAACAUACCUAUUUCCAAAUGGUUAAGGAUGAAUGAAAAGAUGGAAAACUAUACAAUCUGGAUCAACGAUUUACCUGAAUAUUCGUAUAGCUGCUUUGCAAGUGAAUAAUUCUCAAGACUUUUCUUGGUUCCUUGAUACAAGGUCAACAUCUCAUAUCACUCAUACACCAGCUAUUCUACUCUCUUUAAUUCCUUACCAAGGGAUCAGACACAAUGAUGGUGGUUAAUGAGGCUCAACUUCCUAUUACUCAUGUUGGUGAAUGUAGUAUAUGAAUGGGACUGUUUUCCUACCCCUGAAGAAUGUUCUAUGGAUUCCUUCUAUUCAAAAGAAUUUACUAUCAGUAUCUCAACUUACAAGUGAUUCUCCCUACACUUUUGACUUUGACAAUAGUAUUGUCAUGAAGGAUCUUACUACACAAAAGAUUUUAGCAUUGGGGAGUAAGCAAGGAGGUCAAUAUGCGAUUACUACUCAAUCUGAAGAAUCGUAAAUACGGGUAUACUUCUCUUCCAGGUUCAAGUCUGCUACAGAGGAUGUGUAACACUAGAGACUUGGACAUCCUUAAGGGCAGGUUACCCAAUUUCUCAAGAAUAAUGAUUUGAUUGUUGUUUCUAAAAAUCAUGGACAUUUGUGCUCUAGUUGUCUACUUAGUAAGAGCACCAAGCUUCCUUUUAUCAGUUCUUUUACUCAUUGUAUUUCUCCUCUUGAAUGGGUUCAUUGUGAUUUGUGGGGGAAAGCUCCUACUCAAAAGUGUUCAGCAUUUUUAAAUACUAUGCUAUCUUUGUUGAUGAUUUCUCUCAUCACACAUGGUUCUAUCCACUAAAGCAUAAAUCAUAUUUUUUUUCAUCUUUUAUUCACUUUUCAAUCUAUGGUAGAACGUCAGUUAAACACUAAAAUUAAGGUGUUUCAAUCAGAUGGUGGGGGAGCAUUCUCUAAGAAAAAGUUCUUAACCCAUCUCAGUGUUUAUGGUAUUAUUCAUCA